GAUGAAGAACGUAGCUAAAUGCGAUACGUAAUGUGAAUUGCAGAAUUCAGUGAAUCAUCGAGUCUUUGAACGCACAUUGCGCCCCCUGGUAUUCCGGGGGGCAUGCCUGUCCGAGCGUCAUUGCUGCCCUCAAGCCCGGCUUGUGUGUUGGGUCUCGUCCCCCUUCCCGGGGGGACGGGCCCGAAAGGCAGCGGCGGCACCGCGUCCGGUCCUCGAGCGUAUGGGGCUUUGUCACCCGCUCUGUAGGCCCGGCCGGCGCUUGCCGAUCAACCAAAACUUUUUUCCAGGUUGACCUCGGAUCAGGUAGGGAUACCCGCUGAACUUAAGCAUAUCAAUAAGCGGAGGA
This 346-nucleotide unclassified non-coding RNA is filed under the name soil metagenome. Its description in RNAcentral is "partial contains 5.8S ribosomal RNA, internal transcribed spacer 2, and large subunit ribosomal RNA". The stretch from base 1 to 120 matches the Rfam family "5.8S ribosomal RNA", at positions 35 to 154 of the family's 154-position model. The record is from RNAcentral.